This 440-nucleotide ribosomal RNA is filed under the name uncultured Janthinobacterium sp. RNAcentral's name for it is "bacterial SSU rRNA". It matches the Rfam family "Bacterial small subunit ribosomal RNA", at positions 358 to 790 of the family's 1533-position model. The record is from RNAcentral. Lineage: Bacteria; Pseudomonadati; Pseudomonadota; Betaproteobacteria; Burkholderiales; Oxalobacteraceae.
GGAAUUUUGGACAAUGGGCGAAAGCCUGAUCCAGCAAUGCCGCGUGAGUGAAGAAGGCCUUCGGGUUGUAAAGCUCUUUUGUCAGGGAAGAAACGGUGAAGGCUAAUAUCCUUUGCUAAUGACGGUACCUGAAGAAUAAGCACCGGCUAACUACGUGCCAGCAGCCGCGGUAAUACGUAGGGUGCAAGCGUUAAUCGGAAUUACUGGGCGUAAAGCGUGCGCAGGCGGUUUUGUAAGUCUGAUGUGAAAUCCCCGGGCUCAACCUGGGAAUUGCAUUGGAGACUGCAAGGCUAGAAUCUGGCAGAGGGGGGUAGAAUUCCACGUGUAGCAGUGAAAUGCGUAGAUAUGUGGAGGAACACCGAUGGCGAAGGCAGCCCCCUGGGUCAAGAUUGACGCUCAUGCACGAAAGCGUGGGGAGCAAACAGGAUUAGAUACCCCAG